RNAcentral lists this ribosomal RNA (253 nucleotides) under uncultured bacterium. Its description in RNAcentral is "partial 16S ribosomal RNA". It matches the Rfam family "Bacterial small subunit ribosomal RNA", at positions 524 to 776 of the family's 1533-position model. The record is from RNAcentral.
UACGUAGGGUGCAAGCGUUGUCCGGAAUUAUUGGGCGUAAAGAGCUCGUAGGCGGUCUGUCGCGUCUGCUGUGAAAACUCGGGGCUUAACCCCGGGCCUGCAGUGGGUACGGGCAGACUAGAGUGCGGUAGGGGAGACUGGAAUUCCUGGUGUAGCGGUGAAAUGCGCAGAUAUCAGGAAGAACACCCGUGGCGAAGGCGGUUCUCUGGGACGGUACUGACGCUGAGACGCGAAAGCGUGGGGAGCGAACAGG